RNAcentral lists this ribosomal RNA (605 nucleotides) under uncultured bacterium. Its description in RNAcentral is "bacterial SSU rRNA". It matches the Rfam family "Bacterial small subunit ribosomal RNA", at positions 338 to 1243 of the family's 1533-position model. The record is from RNAcentral.
CCUACGGGAGGCAGCAGUGAGGAGUUUUCUGCAAUGGGCGAAAGCCUGACAGAGCAAUACCGCGUGAAGGAUGAAGGCCUACGGGUUGUAAACUUCUUUUCUCAAGGAGGAAGAUCUGACGUUACUUGAGGAAUAAGCAUCGGCUAACCCUGUGCCAGCAGCCGCGGUAAUACAGGGGAUGCAAGUGUUAUCCGGAAUUAUUGGGCGUAAAGCGUCUGCAGGUUGAUAUCUAAGUCUUUUGUUAAAUCUCCAGGCUUAACCUGGAAUCUGCAAAGGAAACUAUUUAUCUUGAGUAUGGUAGGGGUAAAGGGAAUUUCCAGUGGAGCGGUGAAAUGCGUAGAUAUUGGAAAGAACACCAACAGCGAAGGCACUUUACUGGGCCAGUACUGACACUCAGAGACGAAAGCUAGGGGAGCAAACGGGAUUAGAUACCCCGGUAGUCCUAGCUGUAAACGAUGGAUACUAGAUGUUGUGGAUUUCGGUCUGCAGUGUCGUAGCUAACGCGUUAAGUAUCCCGCCUGGGAAGUAUGCUCGCAAGAGUGAAACUCAAAAGUAGAAGUUGACGGNGUAGAGACGUGACCGAAGGCCACGACGGAGGGUAGAGG